GGGGAUUUAGCUCAGUGGUAGAGCAUUUGCCUAGCAAGUGGAAGGCCCUGGGUUCGGUCCCCAGCUCCA
Molecule: transfer RNA, 69 nt
Filed under: Rattus norvegicus (Norway rat)
Lineage: Eukaryota; Metazoa; Chordata; Mammalia; Rodentia; Muridae
Rfam family: tRNA
About the family: Transfer RNA (tRNA) molecules are approximately 80 nucleotides in length. Their secondary structure includes four short double-helical elements and three loops (D, anti-codon, and T loops).
Source: Rfam by way of RNAcentral